RNAcentral lists this ribosomal RNA (80 nucleotides) under Chloroflexota bacterium. RNAcentral's name for it is "partial 16S ribosomal RNA". The stretch from base 1 to 71 matches the Rfam family "Bacterial small subunit ribosomal RNA", at positions 1463 to 1533 of the family's 1533-position model. Lineage: Bacteria; Bacillati; Chloroflexota. The record is from RNAcentral.
UGGGGCAAAUGACUGGGACGAAGUCGUAACAAGGUAGCUGUACCGGAAGGUGCGGCUGGAUCACCUCCUUUUAAGGAGAC